Maniola jurtina (meadow brown) is the source of this 96-nucleotide long non-coding RNA. RefSeq lists it as uncharacterized. The record is from RefSeq and is a predicted model, not a curated record. NCBI's taxonomy places the organism in Eukaryota, Metazoa, Arthropoda, Insecta, Lepidoptera, Nymphalidae. The transcript has 3 exons.
UAACAACAUAGUAAAGGUACGCUUACACGGGCAAUUGAAUUCCACUAUUCCAGGCAAUUUAGUCAGUUAUGAUGUCACGACCACACGAAGCAAUUU